Molecule: ribosomal RNA, 406 nt
Filed under: uncultured bacterium
Lineage: Bacteria
Description: partial 16S ribosomal RNA
Rfam family: Bacterial small subunit ribosomal RNA
Source: RNAcentral
AUUUACCGCUUGCGAGCGGCCGAGCACAAGCAACUCGCACGAUGGGCGGACGAGUAAGUAAUGUCUGGGAACCUACCCGAUGGAACGGGAUAACUACUGGAAACGGUAGCUAAUACCGCAUACCCUCGGAUGUGCCCAGAUGGGAUUAGCUAGUAGGUGGGGUAACGGCUCACCUAGGCGACGAUCCCUAGCUGGUCUGAGAGGCUGACCAGCCACACUGGAACUGAUACACGGUCCAGACUCCUACGGGAGGCAGCAGUGGGGAAUAUUUCACAAUUGGCGCAUGCCUGAUGCAGCCAUGCCGCGUGUAUGAAGAAGGCCUUCGGGUCGUACAGUACUUUUAGCGAGGAGGUGUUACUCGCCGAAGAAGCCCCCGCUAACUCCGUGCCAGCCGCCGCGGUAAUAC